Molecule: ribosomal RNA, 891 nt
Filed under: Streptococcus agalactiae
Lineage: Bacteria; Bacillati; Bacillota; Bacilli; Lactobacillales; Streptococcaceae
Description: bacterial SSU rRNA
Rfam family: Bacterial small subunit ribosomal RNA
Source: RNAcentral
UCAGGACGAACGCUGGCGGCGUGCCUAAUACAUGCAAGUAGAACGCUGAGGUUUGGUGUUUACACUAGACUGAUGAGUUGCGAACGGGUGAGUAACGCGUAGGUAACCUGCCUCAUAGCGGGGGAUAACUAUUGGAAACGAUAGCUAAUACCGCAUAAGAGUAAUUAACACAUGUUAGUUAUUUAAAAGGAGCAAUUGCUUCACUGUGAGAUGGACCUGCGUUGUAUUAGCUAGUUGGUGAGGUAAAGGCUCACCAAGGCGACGAUACAUAGCCGACCUGAGAGGGUGAUCGGCCACACUGGGACUGAGACACGGCCCAGACUCCUACGGGAGGCAGCAGUAGGGAAUCUUCGGCAAUGGACGGAAGUCUGACCGAGCAACGCCGCGUGAGUGAAGAAGGUUUUCGGAUCGUAAAGCUCUGUUGUUAGAGAAGAACGUUGGUAGGAGUGGAAAAUCUACCAAGUGACGGUAACUAACCAGAAAGGGACGGCUAACUACGUGCCAGCAGCCGCGGUAAUACGUAGGUCCCGAGCGUUGUCCGGAUUUAUUGGGCGUAAAGCGAGCGCAGGCGGUUCUUUAAGUCUGAAGUUAAAGGCAGUGGCUUAACCAUUGUACGCUUUGGAAACUGGAGGACUUGAGUGCAGAAGGGGAGAGUGGAAUUCCAUGUGUAGCGGUGAAAUGCGUAGAUAUAUGGAGGAACACCGGUGGCGAAAGCGGCUCUCUGGUCUGUAACUGACGCUGAGGCUCGAAAGCGUGGGGAGCAAACAGGAUUAGAUACCCUGGUAGUCCACGCCGUAAACGAUGAGUGCUAGGUGUUAGGCCCUUUCCGGGGCUUAGUGCCGCAGCUAACGCAUUAAGCACUCCGCCUGGGGAGUACGACCGCAAGGUUGA